AGAUUGAACGCUGGCGGCAUGCUUUACACAUGCAAGUCGAACGGUAACAGGCCGCAAGGUGCUGACGAGUGGCGAACGGGUGAGUAAUGUAUCGGAACGUGCCCAGUCGUGGGGGAUAACGCAGCGAAAGCUGCGCUAAUACCGCAUACGAUCUAUGGAUGAAAGCGGGGGACCGUAAGGCCUCGCGCGAUUGGAGCGGCCGAUAUCAGAUUAGGUAGUUGGUGGGGUAAAGGCUCACCAAGCCAACGAUCUGUAGCUGGUCUGAGAGGACGACCAGCCACACUGGGACUGAGACACGGCCCAGACUCCUACGGGAGCAGCAGUGGGGAAUUUUGGACAAU
This 341-nucleotide ribosomal RNA is filed under the name uncultured soil bacterium. RNAcentral's name for it is "bacterial SSU rRNA". It matches the Rfam family "Bacterial small subunit ribosomal RNA", at positions 26 to 372 of the family's 1533-position model. The record is from RNAcentral.